This is a long non-coding RNA of Rosa rugosa (rugosa rose), 696 nucleotides long. RefSeq lists it as uncharacterized. The record is from RefSeq and is a predicted model, not a curated record. The transcript is spliced from 3 exons. NCBI's taxonomy places the organism in Eukaryota, Viridiplantae, Streptophyta, Magnoliopsida, Rosales, Rosaceae.
CAUCACGAGUUGGUUUCUGUGCGCUUAUCUCUUCAGCUCGUGGUCGUGGUCUCUGUUUUUUUUUUCACGAAGAAAAAGAACAGUAUAAGGCUAGUAACAAAUACAGUGUAGGAGAUCGAAGCCAGAAUGUUAAACAUCACGAAUUGGUUUCUGUGCGCUUAUCUCUUCAGCUCGUGGUCGUUGUCUCUGUUUUUUCCACGAAAAAAGAACUGUGACAAUCUUUCUGGGGUUUUCCCAGUUGGUCCUGCAUGGUACUAGAAAAAGUUACUUAAGAAGCCUGCAUAGAUGGUCGUCAAACCUUUUACCGUGGACUUGGAUAAGCCUCUCGUCUUCCAGGUUACAAUUUUUUUUUACUAUUGUUCUGUAUUUUGCACUUUUCCUCCUUAUGGGACAAUGUUUUCGGAACAGUGCCUUCAACAAAAGCUGCUGAGAAAAUGACUAACCAGUAGCACUGGCUGGGUUUAUUAACAUGGAUCUUCUUGCUACCGUUGUAGUAAAUAUAUUUGGAGCUAUGGAACAUGACUAAGAAGUACAAUAAUGAGUCCAUCAAUACAUAAAGGACUCCUGGCUGCUUUGGAUAUGUAAAACUGUUGAGGGGGAUUGGUUGCUUUGGCUCCAUAUGACCCCCAUAAACUGGCUCUGUAAUAUUAUUGUUCUUGUAUCAUGUAUGCUUGUUACUAUAAUAGUAAUUGGACA